GAUGAACGCUGGCGGCGUGCCUAAUACAUGCAAGUCGAGCGAACAGACGAGUAGCUUGCUCCUCUGACGUUAGCGGCGGACGGGUGAGUAACACGUGGAUAACCUACCUAUAAGACUGGGAUAACUUCGGGAAACCGGAGCUAAUACCGGAUAAUAUAUUGAACCGCAUGGUUCAAUAGUGAAAGACGGUUUUGCUGUCACUUAUAGAUGGAUCCGCGCCGCAUUAGCUAGUUGGUAAGGUAACGGCUUACCAAGGCGACGAUGCGUAGCCGACCUGAGAGGGUGAUCGGCCCCACUGGAACUGAGACCCGGUCCAGACUCCUACGGGAGGCAGCAGUAGGGAAUCUUCCGCAAUGGGCGAAAGCCUGACGGAGCAACGCCGCGUGAGUGAUGAAGGUCUUCGGAUCGUAAAACUCUGUUAUUAGGGAAGAACAAAUGUGUAAGUAACUAUGCACGUCUUGACGGUACCUAAUCAGAAAGCCACGGCUAACUACGUG
This 497-nucleotide ribosomal RNA is filed under the name uncultured bacterium. RNAcentral describes it as "partial 16S ribosomal RNA". It matches the Rfam family "Bacterial small subunit ribosomal RNA", at positions 28 to 507 of the family's 1533-position model. The record is from RNAcentral.